CUCAAUCAAAAGUGGUAGAAAACACUAUAUACAUACCUACGGAGAAAAAUUCUUUUUCUUUCUUGUGAUGAAAAUAAAUAAUAAUAUUAUUCAAUAUAGAUAUUUCCAUAAAUUCUCAAACAAAAAUUAAUCUUUCGAUAUAUGAAAAGAGAUUAAUCCAAGAAAGAUUUCAAGCAAUUCUAACCCUCUUUUACAUUGCUAGAAUUCCAAUAAAUCAAAAUAGCAAUGAGUUUCAUUCAGAAUAAAAGAAAAAUUAAGGUUUUUCAGGUUUUGAUUAUAUGAUUUUGACGUUGAUCCAAUUAGCUGCAUUUCCCUCUUUCAUAUCCAGCCUGUCGCAAACUCUUCGUGAAAAUCACGGCCACGGGAGGGCUUGUCCAUUUGAUAUUAGGAGCUUUCCAGCCAACGUUAGGAGCUCCUCGGUACAGCUCCGAAGCGCACUUCAUAGAGUAAUUAUAUACAGAGGAGAAACUGAGAAACAGUAAUUUAGUUCCCUCAACAACUUCUAGUGGUCGCUCACAUCGCUGAUUUUCUGUUUACCUCGAGAAAUAUUCACUUAACCUCAAAAAUUUUUAGUUAAUCCGUCGAACGUAGCGUACUUUAUUUUUGGUAAGAGAUUUAUUAUGUCGCAGUCAACUUUGAAAUCCAACAAAUAUUGUGUUCCUAACUGUGGAGAUAUGUAUAGUAAACGUCAUCGUUUUCGAAUGAAGAGAAGCAGCCAACAAUUUUCAAACUUUGGCUCGAAAAAGUUAGUUAUCCAUUGCUCAACUCUAAAACUCCUCAACAAAUUUGCAAGAAUUGAAAUAAGAUAGCCUUCAAGGAAUUUGGCAACUGCUAUCCCUGAAUUAUUUCUUCCUGGAUUUUCAAAUCAAGGGGAAGACAGAGAAGUUCAUGAUACUGAAGGAAUACAUCUCCAAAAUGAUGUUGAGAGGGAGGUAUCAACAGAGACUUUGAAGAAUUUUAAGCAGCCUCAGAAAACUUCAAUAAUAUAUAGAAUAACUGAAAAUGAACGUUAUCUAUCAAAAUGUCUGAUUGAUCAGAAUAGAAAUCUGAGAAUAAUCCAAAAAAAAGUUUCAUCUUACAAAGAGCGGCUAAAAAAUGUAGAGAAACUUAAUUCAUCAGCAAAUUUCAGUAGACUGAUGAAUUAUGUUUCUCCAACAGCUUUUAAUCGGGCACACUUUUGUAAGUAGUUGUGAGUUCCAACAUUUCAAACAAAUGGUAUAGUAGAGUUUUCAAUUCUGAUUGAGUCAAUUUAGAACUAUUUAUUGCAAUAAAUUUGAUGAAAAUAUAAGUACUUAUGAAUGUUUUGCUUCCUACAGAUAUCGAGGACAACAAUUAAUUGACACUAGAGGCUGUGGGCACUGCAGAGCUGAUGGAUAAGCUGUUUGAUAUCCUGAAUAUGCAAUUGUGAAGGGCACUGAUACAAAAUUCAAAUCUUCUGGAGUUACAUGUGACCCAAUUAAAAAUUUGGCAUACUAGAACUAUUUAAAAAAAUGUAAAACUUUAAAUAGAUGAUUUUUUUAUA
Harmonia axyridis is the source of this 1522-nucleotide long non-coding RNA. RefSeq lists it as uncharacterized. The record is from RefSeq and is a predicted model, not a curated record. NCBI's taxonomy places the organism in Eukaryota, Metazoa, Arthropoda, Insecta, Coleoptera, Coccinellidae. The transcript has 2 exons.